AUGGAUGACUAUCUGAACGUAUGCAGGUUUCUUCCGAAACUUAACAAUGAGAUACUAGGUGAAAGAAAUGCUCCCUACAAGGAAAGGUUGGGCAGCCUAGAGAAUUUAGUACUGAUCAUGAUCCAUAAUAGACUAAAAGAGAUUGAUAAAGGAAGAAAAUACCCUACCGGAUCUGCACAAGGACAAGAACUAACAAGCAAUUUUCACUUGGGCGCAGGGGUGAUCGUCGUGGACUACCGCAACCCGGUGGGCAUCGUGCUCUUCAACAACUCGGAGACGGACUUCACCGUGAAGGCCAGCGACUGUGUCACACCGAUGAUUGUCCUGGUGAUUGUGACACCGGAGGUCGCUGAGGUGGAGGACCUUGACGCCACCGUCCGGAGGUCGUCGAGGUGGAGGACCUCGAUGCCACCGUCUGGAGGUUGCCGAGGUGAAGGACCUCGACGCCUUGGUAGAUACAUUUAG
Molecule: ribosomal RNA, 465 nt
Filed under: Triticum aestivum (bread wheat)
Lineage: Eukaryota; Viridiplantae; Streptophyta; Magnoliopsida; Poales; Poaceae
Description: partial small subunit ribosomal RNA
Source: RNAcentral